Molecule: transfer-messenger RNA, 408 nt
Filed under: Alphaproteobacteria bacterium
Lineage: Bacteria; Pseudomonadati; Pseudomonadota; Alphaproteobacteria
Rfam family: Alphaproteobacteria transfer-messenger RNA
About the family: Bacterial tmRNA, also known as 10Sa RNA or SsrA, is named for its dual tRNA and mRNA-like properties. Its role is to liberate the mRNA from a stalled ribosome.
Source: RNAcentral
UUCAUUGAAUUUCUUAUAUCAAUAGGCGUAUAAUGGUCUUGCUGGCUUGCCAGCUAUGACAUUACACGUUUACAUGGAAUAAACGUUGCGGACCCGGGGGCGGUACCCGGCGACUCCACCAUUUGGAAUUUGGGUUUUCAGAUUUCAGGUGAUGGGGUCGAAAUAGGAUCGACGCGCGCAAUAAAGAUGUUUUAACGGUGUUCGGCAUAGUAUCCGCCGUUAUCGGGCUAAUUUUAUAAACGCAAACGAUAAUAAAGCGUUCGUAGCAGCUAACGACAACUCUGUUGUUGAAGGUGAAGUUCGCAAAGCUGCCUAAUUGGGCAGUAGCGAUGCUACACUCUAAUCCCUGACGGAUUAACGUCCAUCAGGUGGGGCCCGAGCCGAGCCUCGCAACAGAAUCGGCUCAUC